CCCUUAGAUGCUCUGGGCCGCACGCGCGCUACACUGGUCGAUGCAACGAGUUUCUUUCCUUGGCCGACAGGCCUGGGCAAUCUUUGAACAUCGAUCGUGAUCGGGAUAGAUUCUUGUAAUUUUUGAUCUUAAACGAGGAAUUCCUAGUAAACGCAAGUCAUCAGCUUGCAUUGAUUACGUCCCUGCCCUUUGUACACACCGCCCGUCGCACCUACCGAUUGAAUGGUCCGGUGAAAUCUGCGGACUGGCGUGAGUCGGAGCAAUCUGACAAACACCGGAAAGUUGAUUAAACCUUACCAUUUAGAGGAAGGUGAAGUCGUAACA
RNAcentral lists this ribosomal RNA (324 nucleotides) under uncultured eukaryote. RNAcentral describes it as "partial 18S ribosomal RNA". It matches the Rfam family "Eukaryotic small subunit ribosomal RNA", at positions 1470 to 1796 of the family's 1831-position model. The record is from RNAcentral.